This 23-nucleotide ribosomal RNA is filed under the name Meloidodera mexicana. RNAcentral describes it as "partial 28S ribosomal RNA". Lineage: Eukaryota; Metazoa; Nematoda; Chromadorea; Rhabditida; Heteroderidae. The record is from RNAcentral.
UCGACCUGAACUCAGGCGUGAGU